CGUGUCUGUGCACGUGUGUGUGUGUGUGUGUAUGUGUGAUAUGUACACAUGCAUCACACACACACACACACACACACCCACACACACAAAC
RNAcentral lists this microRNA precursor (91 nucleotides) under Poecilia formosa (Amazon molly). Its description in RNAcentral is "miRNA (ENSPFOG00000021148.1)". Lineage: Eukaryota; Metazoa; Chordata; Actinopteri; Cyprinodontiformes; Poeciliidae. The record is from RNAcentral.